This 466-nucleotide ribosomal RNA is filed under the name uncultured bacterium. Its description in RNAcentral is "partial 16S ribosomal RNA". It matches the Rfam family "Bacterial small subunit ribosomal RNA", at positions 29 to 523 of the family's 1533-position model. The record is from RNAcentral.
AACGAACGCUGGCGGUAUGCUUAACACAUGCAAGUCGAACGAACAAAAUUGGGGCUUGCUCCAAUUUUAGUGAGUGGCAAACGGGUGAGUAACACGUGGGAAGCUACCUAUCAGUACGGAAUAACAUUUGGAAACAGAUGCUAAUACCGUAUAUUCUCCAAGGAGGAAAGAUUUAUCGCUGAUAGAUGAGCCCGCGCAAGAUUAGGUAGUUGGUAGGGUAAUGGCCUACCAAGCCUACGAUCUUUAGCUGGUCUGAGAGGAUGAUCAGCCACACUGGGACUGAGACACGGCCCAGACUCCUACGGGAGGCAGCAGUGGGGAAUAUUGGACAAUGGGCGAAAGCCUGAUCCAGCAAUACCGCGUGAAUGAUGAAGGCCUUAGGGUUGUAAAGUUCUUUUAGUUGGAAAGAUAAUGACGGUACCAACAGAAAAAGCCCCGGCUAACUCCGUGCCAGCCGCCGCUGUAA